RNAcentral lists this ribosomal RNA (529 nucleotides) under bacterium 35-L049641-122-013-C05. RNAcentral describes it as "bacterial SSU rRNA". It matches the Rfam family "Bacterial small subunit ribosomal RNA", at positions 60 to 572 of the family's 1533-position model. The record is from RNAcentral.
AGUCGAGCGAAUCGAUGGGAGCUUGCUCCCUGAGAUUAGCGGCGGACGGGUGAGUAACACGUGGGCAACCUGCCUAUAAGACUGGGAUAACUUCGGGAAACCGGAGCUAAUACCGGAUACGUUCUUUUCUCGCAUGAGAGAAGAUGGAAAGACGGUUUACGCUGUCACUUAUAGAUGGGCCCGCGGCGCAUUAGCUAGUUGGUGAGGUAAUGGCUCACCAAGGCGACGAUGCGUAGCCGACCUGAGAGGGUGAUCGGCCACACUGGGACUGAGACACGGCCCAGACUCCUACGGGAGGCAGCAGUAGGGAAUCUUCCGCAAUGGACGAAAGUCUGACGGAGCAACGCCGCGUGAACGAAGAAGGCCUUCGGGUCGUAAAGUUCUGUUGUUAGGGAAGAACAAGUACCAGAGUAACUGCUGGUACCUUGACGGUACCUAACCAGAAAGCCACGGCUAACUACGUGCCAGCAGCCGCGGUAAUACGUAGGUGGCAAGCGUUGUCCGGAAUUAUUGGGCGUAAAGCGCGCGC